GACGAACGCUGGCGGCGUGCUUAACACAUGCAAGUCGAACGGGCCCGCCCCUGUUUUUGGGGGUGGGUUGAGUGGCGAACGGGUGAGUAUCACGUGAGUAACCUGCCCCCUGCUCCUGGAUAACUGCUUGAAAGGGCGGCUAAUACGGGGUGUGCCGGCUGGUCCGCAUGGGCCUGGUCGGGAUAGUUUCAUCUUCGGGUGUUUCGGUGGGGGAUGGGCUCGCGGCCUAUCAGCUUGUUGGUGGGGUGAUGGCCCACCAAGGCGGUGACGGGUAGCCGGCCUGAGAGGGUGGGCGGCCACACUGGGAUUGAGACACGGCCCAGACUCCUGCGGGAGGCAGCAGUGGGGGGUAUUGCACAAUGGGCGGAAGCCUGAUGCAGCGACGUCGCGUGAGGGAUGGAGGCCUUCGGGUUGUGAACCUCUUUCUCCGGUGGUGAAGGCCCUGUCCGUUGCGGCGGGGUUGACGGUAGCCGGGUAUGAAGCGCCGGCUAACUACGUG
Molecule: ribosomal RNA, 499 nt
Filed under: uncultured bacterium
Lineage: Bacteria
Description: partial 16S ribosomal RNA
Rfam family: Bacterial small subunit ribosomal RNA
Source: RNAcentral